This is a long non-coding RNA of Strongylocentrotus purpuratus (purple sea urchin), 956 nucleotides long. RefSeq lists it as uncharacterized. The transcript is spliced from 3 exons. The record is from RefSeq and is a predicted model, not a curated record. Lineage: Eukaryota; Metazoa; Echinodermata; Echinoidea; Camarodonta; Strongylocentrotidae.
GGGGGUGUUUCAUCAACUAAAAUCGAUUUCGAUUUUAAAAAUCAAUUUUAAGGCCGAAUCAGUUUUAGCUUAAAACCGAUACAUGUGAGCUGUUUCAUCAAAUCGAUUUUAAGCUAAAAUAGAUUUUUAGGUGUCUGCAAUCAAGGCUAGUCAAUUUAGGGUAAAUCGAUCACAAAAUGGCCUUGCUUAACUACAGUGAGAGUCCUUGAAAAGUUGCAAAAUAAAGAGCUAUGGCAUCUGCAUGUACUGCUAGUUCAUGACAAAUGAACAUUUAUUGUCCAUCUCUUCAAAAUUGAAAAGACUGCAGAGCCUGAAUUACCUGCAACGUUAUGCUUCUUAUGAAACAUCAGCCAGCCUACAGAUAGAAGCUCUGUUUUCCAGCUUUAAGCAAGAGGAACCACAAUGAGAUACAGAUCUUGAUAUCAUGGACUGGUCACUUUUUACAACCAACACUACUUGUAAAAUAAGAUUUACAAAUUAAUUCCUAUAAGCUAUUAAAAAUGCUCUAGUCAAGGUACUAAAAUUUUGCCAUCGAGUUUGAGGUUUUGGGUUUGAUAAAAUGUUAACAUAAAAUAUUUUAAAGGAAGUAAACGUUUUAUUGAUACUUCCAAGAUUUCCUAUAUUUUAAACAGAAUUUUAGAAUCUUGCAGAAGAAAAGAGAAGAAAUAAAAAGCUAUUAUUCUGUCAUGGAGGUUAUUGUUACCAAACUCACAUUACAUAGAUAAUUUUGUUCAUGGCAAUAAAUCUUAAAAUAUCAAAUUGGAAUUUCUUAAUUAGCAAUUCAUCUGAGCAGCAGUUUGAUGACCUAUUUGGAACUCUUCCUAGAGGCACUUCUUGCAUGCCUAUGUAUCGAUAAUUACCUGUUGGUGCUUAAAGUGCUAUUGUAGCAAUUGCACAAAAACAAAUACAAAAUAAACAACAGAACAUUGUGAUUGAGUGAAAACAUUUUUCCUGCA